GCUCCUGUUUCAAAGGUAAGCCCCCCUUCCCACUUUCUUUUUCUUUGCUUUCCCCAAAAGUGGUAAGCAAAAAACAAACAAAAAAAACCAGCAUGCAGCAAGACAAAAGGUCUACUGAGGAAUUCAUAGGCACAAUGUUAAAUUACACAUACAGAGAGAAUAACUUCAAGACAUCCCCUUCCUUGAGGACAGCUGCUUGUAAAAAAUCAAUGGAAAAUGACCCAGAUCACACAUUUUUGUUUAAUGAAAGUCCUUGAUGAGUUAGAGGGUAACCUCUGCUGGUUAACAAAUCAAAAAGAUUGCCAAAACGGCACUUAGAUCAUGCUUUGGUUACCCACAGUGGGCUAGGAAAGAAAAUUACUAAUGAGACAGGAGGUAGGGCAGCCAGUGGGAGCAGCGGAGAGAAUAUUUUCCCUUUCAAGCUGCAGAAGCUGUCCGUCUCUGCUUCCUCCUGCAAAUGCACUGUUGUACUAAGAGAAGCAGCGGUGUCUGACAUGCUGGGAACUCUAACUGGGUGUCCGCACCUUUAUAUUCUUUUUUCAUUUUUACUUAUACCUUGUCCCUCCUUGGAGCACAGGGUUGGUUCUCCUCCAUUUUGUCUUCACAACAACCUUGUGAGGUACGUCAGCCUGAGAGAUCACAGGAGAGUCAGGUUUCCCUGGCUGAACUGGGAUUUGAUCUGGGUCUCCUGAGCCCUAAUGCAGUACUUGGACUUCCACUGGAUACUGAGACAUUCUUUCUCUGCUCCUAGGCUUCGGGCAGGAAGAUGAGGAUUGCCAGCUUCAGCUCCCAGAAUGAAUCCUGCCAACAUGGAUGGAUUCUGAGGCAAGGGCUUCUAGCGGCCUCAUUUUGCAUUAGGAAUUUUUACUAAAUUAAACAGAAUAUAGUUCAAAAAACACAUGCUCCCUUGUAUUUGAAGUCCCCCUUUCCUUUGUUUUGUAUCUUUUUAGACUAUAAGCUAGUAAGCAGGUAUUAUUGUUUUUUGGUUUUUCUUUUACUUGAUUAUAUGCAAGCCACUCUGGGUGACUUUUUGUCUGAGAAGCAUUAUAAAAAUACCUCAAAUAAAUAAAUCAGACUAAUGAGCUGUUUUAUCAUCUGCCAAAAUACAAAAAAUAUUGCACAUUGUACAUUGCAUUGUAAGCCCCCUAGGAAGGCCUCAGCAAUUAUAGGAGGCCUAAAAAUACGUGGCUAAAUAAAUAAAUAGUUAAAUGAAAUAUUAAUUUCUUAUUAAUGUGAUUCUUAUUAAUCGCAUCUAUAUCCUGUCCUUUUUCAUUCGUGUAAGGAAUCCAAGGAGGGUGGCAUAGCUCCAUUUUAUCCUCAUAGUAAGUAAGUCCUAAGGUCACCCAGUGCCGUGCGUAGUGGGAACUGCAGCCUGGAUCUCCUGCAUCCCUAGACCAACACUCAGACCUACUCACUGCCCUGCCUCUUACUGAAACUUAUUGUAGCACAGGCAGAUUUUUUCCACUUCCUAAACCUAUGCUGUGAUCAUAGAUGUGCAUAUGCAAAGCAUUUGCAUAUCAUUAAAACUUUAUUUUUUUCAUUCUAUAGCUCCGACCAAUUACAAUAUCACACAUGCAUGCACAUACGCAUAUAUCCUGAAAGACCCUCAGCAGAUAUCUCAUAAAUUUCCUUCACAGCAUGACCUAUAUGACAACUUGUCAAAAAGAAAGAAAUCCAGAAAUAUCUAGAUAAUUAUCUGCUUUAUCCACAGUACAUGUAAAUAAGGCCUAUCAAUAUACCAUAGAUGAUGAAUCACCAUCCAGGUUUAGACUUUUUUCCUAGUUUAAUUAAUGAAUGCAGCCAACCUUGGGCAUGUUUGCUUAGAGAAGUUCAUCUCUCUGUGCUCAACAACAUGAAUUCCAGGUAAGGGUGCACAGGAUUGCAGCCAUGGACAUGAUCCUCCACAUGUACUCAGAAGCAGGGCUCAGUGAGAUCAGUGGGAAUUACUCUCAUCUAAAUGAACAAAAUAUUAGAGCCUUGAUGUUUCUGUUAAGGCUCUAGGCUGGGCCGGGGCAACUUGUUGGCCACCGGAUGUUUGUGCUUCUAAUUCCUAUCAGCCCUAGGCAGCAUAACCUCUGACAUGGGGACAGUAGAAGCUGUAGGUUAAAAUAUUUGGUGGUCCUUAUGUUGUCCACCUCUGGUCUUAUAUAUAUAUGGAACCACACAGUUUCUUCCUUUCUGCAAGUAGUUCGAUACUAUUUUUCAGCAUGAAAUAAAAAAAUUCAAGAGGAGAAAGAAGAGAAGAGGAUUUAUCUAGUCUUAUGCUUGUGAAAGGAAAAAAAGGAGUUGAAAGUCUUUUCCUUUAAAGUAACUAAUAUGUUGAUAGCCUGGGAAUUUGAAUCAAUGGUCACCAAUCAAUAUUACACACACACACACACACACACACACACAGAGUGAGAGAGAGAGGGAGAGAGGGAGAGGCGGGGGGAGGGAGAGAGAGGUACAAUUUCCCUCCACUCUGCGUACUGUUGUCUGGAAAGCCAUGCAUGGGGCCUGGAAAUCAAUGUGCAAUGUUUGUGAACUUUUUGAACAGAAACUUGGACAGGCAGAGAAACAAAUUUUAUGUAAGGUUCUUUUUAAACAGGAAGAUAUGAAUCAAUCAGAUAUUAUUCUUUAGAAACCCUUCAGUAACUAUAAUGUUGUAAAUGAAUGGACAUCUCAGUAUCAUGAAAAAAAGUUUUCUGAAAACAUCUGUCUGGAAAGGAAACAUUCCUUAAUAUUCCUGAAUCCCAUUACUGAAACAUCUGUUAGGACAGAGAGCAUUGUGUCUACUGCUAUAGGGUAAUUAACUGAAUAUACUAAAUCUGUUCUACUUCUCUCAUUCUAGCCUUCAUUUUUGGACCCCCUUGCUAUUUACUUGACAUUCAAAGCUUUACUAUGGUUAUAAAGAGCAUGGCAAGCCACCAUCUCGGAAAACAUGCAUCGACCGGAAAACUUGUAAAUGAGCUGUGAGUUUCUCUUGGCAUUUUCAAGAUGUGCAGCAGAUGGCGCCAUUCCUCCCUUUGUUGCAGCAUUGAAAUAAGGUAUUGUUAGCAGAGUUUUUUCAAAGCAACACUACAGACUCUUCAAUCGUGCUUCCUAAGCUAGUGGAACAAUUGAAGUUACACUUUUGGAAUAAUACUUUGUUAACUAUUCUCGUUUGCUUUAUGGAACAUAAAAUCUGCACAAUCCUUCUGCAAAUGAAGGUGACUCUUGCAAUGGAACUAAAAUCUCCAUAAACUGAAUAUUGAUUUUGUGGAUUCAGUAGUGUUACCAGCACUUUUAUAGUAGUUAUAAUAAUGGUAGGAGACAACCACCACUUUUUAAAGGAACAGAGUCAGCUCUUUUACAAAUUCAUGCAUAGUGGAGAAGGUGCAGAAAUGCUAAGAUGAAACUACAGCCAUAACAUGCAUGCUCUUCCAUGAGAACACAGAUGAGGUGCAGUUUGUAAGCCCAGCCUAAGAAAUGCUUUUGGAAAGUGUGGGCUUGGGAUCUCCAAGGGUUUGGAAAAACCAAAAGUCUUCCUUCUGUUACGUUUCUCUGCUUAGGGCUCUAAGGAUCUACUCUUGUGUUCAGAAAAUGAUUAUACCCCAUUCCAACAUCAGCUUCUAGUGGUGGAUGAAGGUUGUGGCAAGCCCCCGUAUUCUGAGGAAGCCCAGAAAUGUCAUCUAGAAUAUCUGAGAUAUCUCGCUCUUGCGAUAAACCCUCAAUAAGAAGCUGUCUUGAAUUAUUUAUCUGAAUAAAUAACCUGGAUUUAAUUUUUUGUUCAAAAAAGGCUGUUGAUCAGAACUAGUUUUUUUGAUAAUGUAAGUGUAGAACUGUGAAGUAGGUAGAAGCAGUUGUCAAUCUGGUUUUAUUUUCAUUUCUUCACAGUCUGCUCCUUAGCCUUUUUCCCCCAGUUCAUUUUUACAUUCUCCCUCUUUUGGUCUCCAAGCUUACACCACUUUUCCCAGACAACCUCUUUCAUGAACCCAAAGAGGGGUGGGAAGAGAGGUAAACAAGAUCUCUCUCUCCAGCUGCAUGAAGAGAUGAGAACCUCCUUGGAUGCAGGCUAAAACAUGGCUGUUAUAGAACACCAACCAGAAUUGACUACAAGUAUUUUGCCAUUUUGAUUUUUGUUAACUGCUCAGAUUCUGUUCUUUGCUCAUGUACAUACAGUGGUGAUAAAAGCAUUUCAGCUAUAUUGUAUGCAAUCAUACACAGCUUUAGUAACUGCUCACUAAAUAAGAGGUUGUAAAUAUCAUUUAUAAACAUACAUCUGAAAAGCAAACAAUUGAGUGCCAGCAGUACGGUGAAAUAAAUCAUGCGCACAGCAAACACAAUACCUUUCUCCACUUACUGUCAAUGGCAAACCUAUGUGUGGCUUUUGGGAUUAUCCUCACUUUCCUUGUCAGGUCUUCUGCAAUCGUCUUCUUAAGUCUUUUGACCUAAAAAACAUCAGGAGAGCUAGUCUAGCAUCUGACACUGGAUUCCUAAAAGUUAUUACACACAGUCCUAGAUGGCAAUAGGAUUCCAAGCUCCAACCUUGCUGAAAGGUGUUGAAAGGUGCUGAAAGUUGGAGCUGGGACUUCAGACUCAGAAUGCCCACCCAGCCAGCACAGAAAGAACUGCUGUGGUUCAGCUCAAAGGUUGCAAUGUGGCCUUGUAGAUGAGCUCUUUGGGGUGUGAAGAAAAGCACAUGAAAUAUGUGGCAGGCUUUUCCUGGCUUCCCACCCACUCUGAGGCUGAACACUUAUCAUCAGUGUGAGAGUUUUGCAUAGCAGGAAGAGCACAGAAGAAAACUUUGCCUCCAGAUGCUUCGCACCAUGCAUAAGAUGCCUGUAAAACUCCAAGUUCAGAAGGACAAGGACAGUCUCCUUGGAUUGCACUCUUAGAAGAUCCUCACAAUUUUUAUAACAUAAUUUACAAAACUCCAAAAAUGCACAAAUAUAUAAUAGAUAACACACAUACAUAAUGUAUAUCUAGUUAAUAUUUCCCAGGAAAGAUAAAUAAGUAAAGAAGCAAGAACUACAGAAUAUCACCAUCCAUUAUAAUCUUUUUGAUCUUCAACAUCAAACUAAGUUACCGAUUAUUUAUUCAUAUUCAUUUGGUAAUUAAUUGUAAACUUGAAUAGGGUCUAAUAUUGUCAUUGCAAAAUAUGGUGAAUGUUGAUGGUGUCUGCAAAAUGAUUUUUCAGAUCUUGGCUAAUUCUUAUUUUUUAUUAAAAGUGGAAUAAUAAAUUGACACUUUAUAACUCUGUAAGUCGACAAAGGGAAAAUGUGAGGAUACUUGUUGAGUUUGAUCCUGCAAAUUAAUGUUUCAGCAAAGAAUGUAAAUCUCUCUAAAAGAGAAAUGAGAUAUUCGGGGAAAAUGAAAUAAAAACUACGAGGACAACAUUUGGAUUCACAGAUGCAAAGAGGCUGCCAUUCGGAGCUCACCAUGUUGUUUCCAAGACUUGGUUCUGCAAUUGUUAAAGAGAACCUUCUGUAACAAUAACUUUUCACACUGAGUUUGUUUUUUUUUAAGUAACCAACACAAUAUUUUCAUGUCAUUUAUAUUUAGCAAUGCAUUUAUAUUCAAACAUACAAAAGCAACACUGCUCUUUUCAACAAAACAGUAACGGUCAAAUAUUAACAACACAAUCUCAAGAAACAUGUCAAAAACAAUGUUGCAUUUAGUAACAUUAAUACAGCAGCCUAAAGUUGCAGAAAAGUUUUCUGAAACAGGUCGAUUCAUUCUCUUUUUCAAAGCCCUUUAAAGAUUUUUUUGAAAUUAAAAAAGUCAAACUGUUGAAAGUGAAUUCUGUAGCACAGUUUUCCCCACUAUGGUCCUAAUUUUUUAAUUUUACACUACAUACCGUAAGGAGGUUCAGUGGUAUGUCUUAGAGCAUGACUUCAUGUGGCAUUUCUUGGGGAAUUGGAUGAGUGUAUGCAAUCUUUGUAGUAGAGAUGAUACUAAGAAGCCGCCCAUGUCAGGAGAUUAGGGGAAGACUGGUUCUCGGAGAUCUCCACUACCCCAUCUCCACAGGAAGAUCUGUCUCUGAAGCAAAGGCCAAGCUACUAGCUAGUGCCCUAGAAUGUUGUUGUAUUAAAAUUCUCUUUUCUCCUGCUUUGAGAGGACAAGAUUUGUAUGUACACCUGGGCAAACAGAAUAUUCAUAAUAAUGCUACAUAUAAUGUGACUUCUUGAAAUGCCAAGGGACUGCACAAUUCAGUUAGACAGAAAAAGCAGUUUCUAAGCUAAAAGAACAUGGAUUUUGUUUGUGUGUUUUCUUUUUUUACUGCAAAUGCACCUGAUGGCAGCAAUUACAUAGCAAGUGAAAAGAGACUGGGUGGGAAAGGUUCAUGCAACAGGUAUGUUGAUCAGGUUUGUGGAGGUAGCAAUCUUAACCUAGUGAUGCUUUCUUCUUUGUUUGUUUUGGCAAUGCCGAAUGCCAUCUUCCUUUGGACGGAGGUAAUAAUUCAGAUAAACCUUAUGAUGGAAUGUUCUUUACCAUUUAAGGAGAUACAUGUUCUUUUGAAUUACCCAUCUAUUUCUGGGAAUUUAAUGCAAGGUAAAUGUAAAUGGAUUUUCCAUGUCCUUUUUAAAGCUAAUAAUCUAAUAUUAUUGGGAUAUAUGCCCAGCUGCAAUAACACAUGGGCUGGAGGCUUCAGUGAAAGUUCCAUUUUUAAAUUGGUGGGCUUUAAGGCAUAAUCUAUAAAUGGGUAAAUAUAUGACUAUUUGGGAUGCCUUAGUGAUGUAUAUGCUUAAACAUUUUUAAUACUGGUAUUAUUUUAAUGUGUGUGUGUGUUUAGAACUAGUGCUAUGAAUCUUUUUGGAUUUCAUUAACAAACUGUCAUGUUUUAGACCUGUUCUUUUUCCCUCCAUCUCUAAUUGUAUAGUUUGGGGUUUUUUGGACUGUACAACAAAAAAAAUUAAUAAAUUAGGAAAGGGGAAUUGCUGAGUUGCUUGGGAAAGCGAGUAUGUUGAGCAUGUGGGAGCAUGAGGAAUACUCAUUGCUACCAUGACUAAUUAAGAGUUAGACAACCAAUAGUUAGUCACCCACUAUUAGUUAUUAUGUGUACACUGGGUCAUUGGGUUUGUUUGUUUGCUUGCUUUGCACAUGCCGCUUUGUAAUCCGAGUGAAAUAGCAACACAGUUCUGUUCUGUAUUAACAGAAUUCCGAUAUGCACACAGCUAUCAGGGGAGUUUAAACAAAUGGUUAAGGACCUGAUUCCAGCUGCAUGUGUGUGGAUCCAUGACAGACUGUGUGGACUGGCCCUGGCUGCACCUACUUUGCUUUGGCCGCAUCCAUACUUUUACAGGGACUGGGACUCAACUCUCAGACUGAAAAAGCAUCUCUACCCUGCCUUAGUCACUAUUCUUUCCACCUACACUGCCCCAGUUUUUCCCUCUAUUGGAGAAAUUCUUCUGGGUUAGUGUUAGGUUGCCACGGUGUUAAAAUUAAUGCUCAUGGCUGAAAUCCAGUUGCAAGUAUUCCCUCCCCCACCCCCCUGCCCUCGCCCUGCAUAAGCUCAGAGAAAUGAUUUUGUAAUCUAGGAACAAACAGUGCUUGAUAGCAACCUUUAAAUUAUAUUAGCAACAUUCACACUGUAUUAGUAAACCCCCUCUCAUUAGAAAAUUGUAUUUUCUAGCAGUUGGUAAUAGGAUGCAGAAAUACUAAUAUGAUUAGGGAAUGACUUGAUAAUAGGAUUUUUUAUACUAGUAGAUUUUAUUCUGUGCCAGCCAAGAAGAUUUCCCUAAUAUAAUAUAAUAAAAAAGAAAAAAGAAGAAACCCCUCAGUCUUCCAUGUCAAAACUGGAGCUUACAAUCCAGAAGAAAGUUCAGGAAGCCUGCAAUUUACAAAAACUAAAGCUAUCCAUAAUUAUGGUGUCACCUUAUGUCCAUACCAAAGGUUUUGCCCUACAGAAGCCAACUAGAGAAGUGCUUCUGAAAACUUGCAGACAUGGGAAUCUUUCUUUGAUGCAGAGUUUGCUUUUGAAGAGCUAAAAAUUAAGGAACUGUACUCUCUUUUCAGCGAACCUGCUGUGGUUUGAGCUGAACAGUGUUUUUAGGACUCUGGUGCAUUGGGACAUGAGCAAAAAUACAAUCAGCAUGGCCUUCUCAACCCUUUUGGGCUGGAGCUUCCUAGCUGACUCAUACUAUUCUAUGUGCAUAAAGGUGGUGAUGGGCUAUUCCAAACAAAUGACUUUAUUAUUCUCUGCUUCUAGAAUCACAGAUUCUAAGAGAUGUACGUGUGCCUCAGUAGCUGAUGUUAGUGGGUGGCUCGAGUCUUCUCUGCAUAGAUAGUCAUUAUAUAUCUUAAGUCAUAUAAGGGUUUCAGAUGAUAGCUCAAACUUUAAAUCGUACUCAGAAAUGUUGACAGAACAAUGGAACAAUCUGCUCCACACACUAUUACUACUUUCCUUGCUUUCCCUAUCAGGUUGCAUUAAAAGAGUUGGAAUUCUACUUCUCUCCCCUGCAGUAUUCAUUCUGAAAAUGUAGAAAAAAGAGAGUUUAUGCUGCCCGACAGAGGUUGCCUAGUGCUACAAUUUAGAAGGCAACCUUUGUUCUUUCUUCACAGAUUUUUGUGGUAUGGAAAACAAUGAGAGAUAUUGUGGAGGUUUCCAGUAGGAGGCGAUGUCAUUGGAGUCCCACCCGCUAAAACCAUGUGAAGGAGGCAGGCUGCUGGUGCAACAAAAGUCUCUUGUAGAAGCACCUCCAGACCAGUCUAUAUGCAUUGCUUUCCCUUUCCUCCUCCUUCGUGACACCAAGUGUCUCUGUGCCAGUAUUGGCUCUCUCACUCCAUGUCAGGAGGAAGUGGAAGCUGAAUCCAAUUGAAACAACACCCCCAAAAGAUCUAGGACAUCCUUUGAACUGGAAAUGCCAGGAACUGGGACCUUCUGUCUGCAAAGUAUGUGUGCCACCUCUUAGCACCUGGGUUAUUCAAUGUGCUGGUUUUAACCUUUAAGGCCUUCAAUGGCCAAGUUACUUGAUGGGUUGCCUUCUUCCAUAUCCACCAGCUCACACUUUGAGGUCAUCAACAGAUACCAUUCACAGUUGUGGUCAUUCAGGCUGAUGAGUACAAGGGAGCAGGUCUUCUUACGUGCACUCUAGAAUCUGGUCCUAGCAGGCAUUCAUCAAGCUGCUUCUUUGUACAUCUCCAAGAAAAUUCUGAGGACUCAUUUGUUCUUUGCUUCCCUUAAUCUGUGGACUGUGGGUUUUCUUGGUGUAAUCUGCUUUUAUAAUGCCUUUUAUUAUCUUACAUAUAUUUGUCUGAUUGGAUAUGUCACUAUUUUUUAUCAUGUGUGCUGCCCUUAAAGAGAUGUUUUUCCCCUUAAAGACUGCCUAAAAAUAAGUAUAAAUAUGUAAAUUCCACCCUCCUUGUACUAGUUGGGGAAGGCAACCUUCCUUCAAAUUGUUGAGUGUUGCUCAGCUAGAGAGCAUUUCUUUGAACAUUUCACUUUUUCUUGAGACAGACCAUGAAGGAUUUAAUGCCUAAAUAUUGUGCAUAAAUAUAAUACAAUAAUAAUCAUGAUGUGGAGGAUGUAAAUUUUGCCUCAACUAGAAAAUGGCAUUAUUAUUAUUAUAUGUACCAUUAAUAUUAUUAAUACCCAUGCUUUAUGCAAUUAGAGUUUUAAUGGGCUAGUCUUACGAUGCAAUAAAGCAGGAGAACAAAGUUUAACUGGCUUAUGACUUCAUUAAAGAGCUAUAAUUGUAACUUUGCAAUCAGAAUAUGCAAAAUUUUGGACUGGUGAUGGUUUAGACAGAAAAAAAGCUAUUGGCAGUGUUUUGUCAUGAUUUUUGUGGUUUAUUCUCAAUAAACUGAUGCUUGUUAUGGGAA
Molecule: long non-coding RNA, 9780 nt
Organism: Varanus komodoensis (Komodo dragon)
Lineage: Eukaryota; Metazoa; Chordata; Lepidosauria; Squamata; Varanidae
Exons: 2
Source: RefSeq, a predicted model, not a curated record